UGGUAGAUUGAGGCUUUAGCGUACCCGAUUGACGCCUCACGUUUGGAUACCGGUUUGAAUAGGCCUCUAGCCCCAAGCGGCCGAACCGACUCCGGUUAGGCUUGGUUUCUUGACGGAGGAUGGAUUCAGCCCACACCUGCGCCCCUGAGAUAUCGGUGCCAGACUCUUACGGUAGGGCAGCAGUGAGUCCAUAUUGGGCCAUGCCCGCAAGGGUGACCCAGCUACGCCGCGUGGAGCAUGAAGGUCGUAAGAUUGUUCACUCCUGUUAGAGGGGACGCAUAAUCCCGAUAGAAUCGGUGACUUGACUGUACCUCUCAGAGUAAGCCCCUGGCUAACUACGUGCCAGCAGCCGCGGUAAUACGUAGGGUGGCUAGCGUUGUCCGGAUUCACUGGGUGUAAAGGGCGCGCAGGUGGGUUAGCAAGUCAGAGGUGAAAUCCUACAGCUUAACUGUAGAACUGCCUUUGAAACUACUAAUCUUGAGUGCGGAAGAGAGAGACGGAAUUCCAGGUGUAGCGGUGAAAUGCGUAGAUAUCUGGAAGAACACCAGUUGCGAAGGCGGUCUCUUGGUCCGUUACUGACGCUCAGGCGCGAAAGCGUGGGGAGUAAACAGGAUUAGAUACCCUGGUAGUCCACGCCCUAAACGAUGAAUACUAGGUGUUGGUCUUAAUUGAUCAGUGCCGCAGCUAACGCAUUAAGUAUUCCACCUGGGGGCCCGCACAUAGCAGUGGAGCAUGUGUGCGUCCAUUAGUAUGUCACGUCGUAAGAACCUUACCAAGGUCUGUGAAUGGCAGAUCACUAGGGUAUGAAAGUACCCCUCCCUCCGGGGCAUCUGUACAGGAUGACUGCAUGGCUGUCGUCUAGCUCGUGCCGUGAGGUGUUGGUGUUAAGUCCCGCAACGAGCGCUAACCCCUACCAUUAGUUGCCACCAUGGUGAUGCUGAGCACUCUAAUGGGACUGCCUACGCAAGUAGUGAGGAAGGUGGGGAUGACGUCAAGUCCGCAUGGCCCUUACGCCUAGGGCUACACACGUGCUACAAUGGAUGUUACAAUGGGUUGCAAGACAGCGAGGUUAAGCCAAUCCCUUAAAAGCAUCCCCAGUUCGGAUUGGAGUCUGAAACCCGACUCCAUGAAGUUGGAAUUGCUAGUAAUCGCGGAUCAGCACGCCGCGGUGAAUACGUUCCCGGGCCUUGUACACACCGCCCGUCAAGCCAUGGAAGCCGGGGGUACCCGAAGCCAGUAUCCUAACCGCAAGGAGGGAGCUGUCUAAGGCAAA
This 1273-nucleotide ribosomal RNA is filed under the name uncultured bacterium. RNAcentral describes it as "partial 16S ribosomal RNA". It matches the Rfam family "Bacterial small subunit ribosomal RNA", at positions 167 to 1466 of the family's 1533-position model. The record is from RNAcentral.